Molecule: long non-coding RNA, 5492 nt
Filed under: Sus scrofa (pig)
Lineage: Eukaryota; Metazoa; Chordata; Mammalia; Artiodactyla; Suidae
Description: lncRNA (ENSSSCG00055023224.1)
Source: RNAcentral
UUUUUUUCUUUUCUUUUUUCUUCUUUUUGCUCUUAUGCUUUAAAUUCCAGCUCUUAUGCUUUAAAUUCUCCAAUAAAGGGUAAGCCCUGCAAACCCUAGACCUCACCUUCAAUUCCAGUAAAAGCAGAAGAUUAGGGCCAUCCCAUACUCACACUAUUUCUACCCCAGUGAUUUUGCUGUGUAUCCCCUGGCAUGUCUUGUGUGCCCCAUGGUCUAUAAGAAAUAAAGUAUUCUGUCUUCUAAGUGGCCUAAUGAUUAUUAAUGAAGGACAUUUUGCAAUCAUUAUAAGAACCAGGGGGUCUGUCCACAGGUCUGGAAAGGGAAAAUAUCUGUGGAAAGCUCAGCAGGACCCAAGUGAGUACCCCCAGGCAUUACUAGCCCAUAACAUUAUUAUUCCUAGGCAGAGACUGGCACAGAACAUAUAUACAUACAUUCAUGAAACCAUUUCCACCAUUAAGAUGAUGUAUAUGAGGGAGUGGCCCAGACGGCAGAAUAAGAAGACCCUGAGCUCACCUCCUCCCAUGAGCACACCAAAAUCACAACUUACAGAAUAGCUAUCAAACAGAACAACGUGAAGACUAGCAGAAAAGAUUUUCCACAACUAAAGAUAUAAAGAAGGAACUACAACAAAUGGAUAAAAGGGGAAGACACUUCAUAUAGUUAAGACCCACCAUCCCAGGCAGGUGGCCCUCAAAUGGGAAAAUAAUCAAAAUUGCAGAGGUUCUCCCCCAAAAUGCCAGAGGCCCAAGCCCAACAUGGGUGUCCAUACCAUGGAGGUCAACACUAGGAGGAGAAGCCCCAGCAUAUUUGGCUUUGAAAGUACAGGAGAACCAGAGGACUGUAGGAAAAUAGAGAUACUUCUUUCAAAGGAUAGACUCAAAGACCCAGCACAGGGGGAGUAACUUGAAAGGAGCCUGGUUCAGACCCAUUUGCUAAUUAUGGAAGGUGUCCAAAGAGGUAACUUGGAGUUCUCCUGGGGAUAGAUGUUGGCAACAGUCAUUUUUGGGGACUUCAUUCUGCCGCAAGAACAAUGGUGCUGGUAAGCAUCAUUUCUGCAUCCUCUUUCUAGCCUUUUAGCACUGGGUACUUACUCACCCAUCAGCCAAUCAGCAUCAGUCCUGGAAAUCCCCAGGCCAAGCAGCCAGACGUGUGGGGACCCUGCCACGACAUGUCUCAGGAUCUUUCAGGUCCCCAAUUAAGCUACUUCAGGCCCUAGUACCACCCACCAGUUUAUCAGGAUGCCCUGGUUCCCCCAGCCAGAAGUACAAGGACACAGUUCAGGUCACCACUGAACUGAAACCAAAACUGGAUCCUCCAGCACCCAUAGCCAAUCAUCCUGGGACCUGGCCUUGCUCACUAGCAGGUCAGCAACAGCCUCAGGCCUCACAAAACCCUUACCCAGGCACCCCAGGACCCAGCUCCAGGGACUCCCCAGGCCACACAGCCAGCUAUAGCUAUGCCAAGAUAUGAUCCAACCCUCCAGCAAGCCAGCAGCAUCUUCAGGAGGCAGUGCCUGGCUGCCAAAUGGGCCAGGGUCCAGCUCCACUUACCAUCAUGCCCACAGUCAUUGGCCCCUGCCAAAACACAAGGAUUCAUUUAGCCCACAUAUGGGAACCCACAGAUCAUAAAGCUCUGGUGGCCAGAGGAGAAUAUUCCUGAGCCCCAUAUGAGAUCUCUCACAUAAGGUCACUUCUCCAAGACUGGGAAAUGUAAUCAACCUGCCUAAUAAAUACAAAUAAACACAGACAAUUAAGGCAAAAUUAGAUGACAAAGGAAUAUGUUAAAAUGAAGGAACAAGAUAAAAUCCCAAAGAAAGAACUAAGCAAAAGGGAGAUGAGCACUGAACAAACAGAUGAAGAUUACAAAGAUGUUCAGUGAAGACAGGAGAAAAUACAUGAACAAACUGAGACAUUUAAUAAUUAGUUAGAAAAUAUAAGGAACCAAAUAGAGAUAAAGAAUACAGUAAGUGAAAUACAAAUUACUCUACAGGGAAGCAACAGUAGAUUAGAUGAUACAGAGGAACCAAUCAGAGGACUGAAAUACAGUAGUGGAAAUCACUGAAGCUGAGUAGAAAAAAAAAAAACAGCUGAUUAAAAAAAAAAAAUGACUGUUCAAGAGACCUCCAGUACAGUAUCAAGCAUGCUAACAUUUGCAUUAUAGGGGUGACAUAAAGAGAAGAAAGAAUAUAUUUGAAGAUGUAAUAGCUGAAAACUUCUCUAACCUGGGAAGAAGACCUGACACACAGGUCCAGAAAGCACAGGGAGUCCCAAAUAGUAUCAGCCAAAAAAUUUCCAACUAAUAAACACUGCAUUGUAAAUGGCAAAAAUUAAGGAAAGAAUCUUAAAAGAAGCAAGGGAACAUCAAUUAGGUAUAUAUGGGUAUUUCCAUAAGACUAUUAUCUUACUUCUCAGCAGAAAUUUUUCAGGUCAGAAGGAAGAGGUAAGAUAUUUUUAAAGUCAUGAUAGGAUAAAACCUGCAACAAAAAAUUCUCUGUCCAGGAGUUCCCAUCAUGGCACAGCAGAAAUGAAUCUGACUGGGAACCAUGAGGUUGCAGGUUCGAUCCCUGGCCUUGCACAGUGGGUUGAAUAACUACUGUUGCUGUGAGCUGUGGUGCAGGUUGCAGACUUGGCUCAGAUUUGAUGUUACUGUGGCUGUGGCUGUGGCGUAGGCCAGCAGCUAUAGCUCUGUUUCGACCCCCAGCCUGGGAAUCUCCAUAUGCUGUGUGUGUGGCCCUAAAAAAAGGCAAAAAAUUAAAUAAAUAAAUAAAAUUUAAAAAUUCUUUAUCCAGUAAAGCUAUCAUUCAGGGUUGAAGGAGAAAAAAAUUUUACAGACAAGCAAAUACUCAAAGAACACCAAAUACUCAAAAAACACCACUGGCUUUUCAAGAAAUGUUAAUGAGACUUCUCUAAGUGGAAGUAAAGGCCACAACAAUAAAUAUAAAAAUUACAAAAGGAAAAAUCUUAUUAGUAAAGAGAAAUCAACAGUAGAGGUUGUAAAUCAACUACUUAUAAAGCUAGUAUAAAAGUUAAAAAACAAAAGUAGUAAAAUCAUCUAUACCCACAGUAAUUAGCUAAGUGAUACAUUAAAAAAAAAAAGAUGUAAAAUAUGACGUCAAAAACAUUAAACAUGGGAAAAUAAAAAUGCAGGGUUGUUAGGAUGCAUUUGAACUUGAGACCAUCAACUUAAAAUAAUAACAUAUAACAUGUGUUUAUUAUAUAUAAACUUUACAUAUACAGGUUACUAUCUAUAAGCAUCACAGUAACCACAAAUGAAAAACCUAUGAUAGAUACACAUAUUAAAAAAGAGAGAGAGAAAGAAAUCCAACACAAGACUGAAGACAGUCAUAAAAUCAUAAUGGAAGAAAAUAAAGGAAGAGGAAAGGAACAACAACAACAGCAAAAGAACUACAAAAACUAUUAACAAAAUGGCAAUAAGCACAUACCUAUCAAUAAUUCCUAUGAUUGAAAUGUGCUAAAUGAUUCAAUCAAAAGACAUAGAGUGGCUAAAUGAAUACUCAAACACUAUUCAUAUGUAUGCUGCCUAUAAUAGAUUCAGUUCAGAUAUUAAAAAAAAACACACACAGACUGAAAGUGAGGGCAUAGAAAAAGUAUUCCAUGUAAAGGAAAUGAAAAGAAAAAUAGAAUAGCUUAUCAGACAAAACAGACUUUAACGCAUUCUCAUCGUGGCUGAGAAGGUUAAGAAUCCAGCUAGCAUCCACGAUGAUGCAGGUUCAAUCUUUGGCCUUGCUCAAUGGAUUAAAAGAGCCAGCACUGCUGACAGCUUCACUGUAGGUCACAGACAGCUUGGCUCUGGCAUUGCUGUGGUUGUGGCAUAGGCUGGCAGCUGCAGCUCUGAUUCAAUCCCUAGCCUCAGAAAUUCCAUAUGCCGUAGGUGUAGCCCUAAAAAGAUAACAACAACAACAAAAAUCAGACUUUAAAAGAAAGACUGUAAGAGUUCCCACUGUGGUGCAGCAGAAAUGAAUCUGACUAUUAUCCAUGAGGCCAUGGGUUUGAUCCCUGGCCUCACUCAUUGUGUUAAGGAUCCUGCAUUGUUGCGCCUGGGAUGUAGGCUGGCAGCUAUAGCCAAUUUGAUCCCUAGUCUGGGAAGUGCACCCCCCCCAAAAAAGGCCAAUAAUAAAUAAAUAAAUAAAAGACUAUAACAAAAGACAAAGACAAAGCACAUUAUAUACUAAUAAAGAGAUUGAUCCGACAAGAAGAUAUAACAAUUAUAACUAUAUAUGCACUCAACAUAGGAGCACCUAAAUACAUAAAGCAAAUAUUAAGAAAUAUUAAGGGAGAAAUUAACAUUAUCAUGAUAAUAGUAGGGAAUUUUAAUACCCCACUUAUACCAAUGGACAGAUCAUCCAGACAUAAAAUCAAUAAGGCAACACUGGGUUAAUAUAUUGACUUAGACUGAUUAAUAGUUAUACAUAGAACAUUCCAUCCAAAAGCAAUAUCCAUCAUCCUUUCUGGCUACGAUGCUAUGAGACCAGAAAUCAAAUACCAGGAAAAAAAAUAAAACUUCAAAAAAUACAAACAUGCGGAGACAAAACAAUAUACUACUAAAUAACAAAUGGUUCACCGAAAAAAAAAAACAAAGAGGAAAUCAAAAAAUACCUGAAGACAAAUGAAAAUGGAAACAAAUGAUUCAAAAUCUAACAGAUGCAGCAAAAUCAGUCCUAAGAGGGAAGUUUAUAGCAAUACAUGCCUAACUCAGGAAAUAAGAAAAAUCUUAACUAAACAACCGUAUACCCAAAGAAACUAGAAAAAUGAGAAUAAACAAAACUCCAAAUUGACAGUAGGAAAGAAAUAAUAAAUGAAAUACAGACUAACAAUAAAUAAAAUACAGACUGAAAAAAAAAAAGAAAACAUCAAUGACAAAUUUCUGGCUUCUUGAAAAGAUAAACAAAAUUGAUAAACUUUUAGCUAGUCUCAAAAAGAAAAGGACCCAUAUAAUUAAAAGCAAAAAUGAAAAAGGAGAAGUAAUAACUGACACCAAACACAAAGGAUCAUAUACAAUCACUAUGGACAAUUAUAUUACAAUAAAAUAGACAACAGAAAAGGAGAAGAUAAAUUCCUAGAAACAUAAAUAUCCCAAGAGUAAAUCAAAAGGAAAUAAAAUAAUGAACAGACCAAUCACUAGCAAUGAAACUGAAUCAGUUAUUUUAAAACCCCCAACAAGGUCCAGGAUGAGAUGUCUUCAAAGGUGAAUUCUACCAAGCAUUUAACAAAAACUUAAUCCCUGUUCUUCUCAAACUAUUCCUGAAAAUUGAAGAGGAAUAUUUCCAAAUUCAUUCUAUGAAGCUAGCAUCACUCUGGCACCAAAACUGGAUAAAGGCACCAAAAAAAAGAAAAUCACAGGCCAAUGCCACUGAUGAACAUAGAAGCAAACAUCCUCAAUAAAAUAUUUGUAAACUAAAUUCAACUACCCAUUAAAGUAUCAUACAAGGAGGAUUUAUCCCAGGGAUCUAAGGUUCAAAAUUAAAAAAAAAA